Small nuclear RNA from Colobus angolensis palliatus, 104 nucleotides. NCBI's taxonomy places the organism in Eukaryota, Metazoa, Chordata, Mammalia, Primates, Cercopithecidae. The record is from Ensembl.
GUACUCACUUUGGCAGCACAGAUACUAAGAGUAAAACAAUACAGAGAUUAGCAUGGCCUGUGUACAUGAAUGGAAUGCAAAUUUGUGAUGCAUUCCAUAUAUUU